This 1332-nucleotide long non-coding RNA is filed under the name Camarhynchus parvulus. RNAcentral describes it as "lncRNA (ENSCPVG00000017015.1)". The record is from RNAcentral. Lineage: Eukaryota; Metazoa; Chordata; Aves; Passeriformes; Thraupidae.
AUGGCCUCAAGUCCCCCUGAAGCUGGCCCCAUUGGUCCCCAACCCCCCCAAUGUCCCCAAAGUGUCCCCAAAGUGUCCCCAAUGUCCCCAGUGCCCCCAAUGUCCCCAAUCCCCCAAUGUCCCCAAUGUCCCCAAUGUCCCCAACCCCUCCCCAAUGUCCCCAAUCCCCUCAAUGUCCCCAAUGUCCCCGAUGUCCCCGCUGUCCCCAGGAUGGCGGCGCAGGUGCCCCCCUGGAAGCUGGCGCUGCUGGAGCGGCGCCGCCGGGAGGACGAGGCCGCUCGGCGCCGGGAGCAGGAGCAGCGUGAGCGCCAGGCCCAGGUGCCCACCUGGAAACGGGAGCUGCUGCAGCGGCGCCGCGCCCGGGCGGGGCCGGCGGGCACACCUGGGGGCACACCUGGGCAAGGGGGCACACCUGGGGACACACCUGGGGGCACACCUGGGCAAGGGGGCACACCUGGGGGAACACCUGGGCAAGGGGGCACCGCUGGGUUGAGACUCUGGUGUGCACACCUGGGCAAGGGGACACACCUGGGCAAGGGGGCACACCUGGGGGAACACCUGGGGGCACACCUGGGGGCACACCUGGAGGAACACCUGGGGGCACACCUGGGCAAGGGGACACACGUGGCAUGGGGGGCACACCUGGAUCAGGACCCACACCUGGGGGCACACCUGGGUCAGGGGGCACACCUGGAUCAGGACCCACACCUGGGGGCACACCUGGGGGGGCACACCUGGGCAGGAGGGUUUAGGGGGCUCCCACCUGGUGCUGGCGCCAGGGACGGAGAAAUGCGGCCGUGCCGAAAAUGCCACCUGGGACACCCAAAAUCCUCCCCAAAAUCAUCCCCAAAAUUCCCCCCAGGAACCCCAAAACUGCCCCCAAAAUUCCCCCCAGGAUCCCCAAAAUUGCCCCCAAAAUCCUUCCCAGGACUUCCAAAAUUGUCCCCAAAAUUAUCCCCAAAAUCUCCUCCGGGAUCCUCAAAAUCCACCCAAGAUCCCAAAAAUCCUCCCCAAAAUCCCGAAAAUUCCUCCUGGGAUCCCCAAAAUUCCCCCCAGGAUCCCCAAAAUUCCCCCUGGGACCCCCCAAAAUCCCCAAAAUCCGCCCCGGGGCCGGGUCAGUCACCUGCGGAGCCGCUUUGUCCCCGAGCCGGGGGGGGACGAGGGGCGUGGGGGGGUCACCCUGGGGUCACCUGGGGGUCAAGGGUCAGCCAAGGACAUAGGAAUGGUCAAAGGUCAUGGAGUGGUCAGUGUGGGGUCACCUGGGGGUCAAGGGUCAGCCAAGGACAUAGGAAUGGUCAAAGGUCAUGGAGUGGUCAGUGUGGGGUCACUUGA